CCUGGCGGCCUUAGCGCGGUGGUCCCACCUGACCCCAUGCCGAACUCAGAAGUGAAACGCCGUAGCGCCGAUGGUAGUGUGGGGUCUCCCCAUGCGAGAGUAGGGAACUGCCAGGA
Molecule: ribosomal RNA, 116 nt
Filed under: Escherichia coli
Lineage: Bacteria; Pseudomonadati; Pseudomonadota; Gammaproteobacteria; Enterobacterales; Enterobacteriaceae
Source: RNAcentral